GCUAUUCUUUUAGCUCGGUUGCUAGAACAUGAGAUUCUUAAUCUCAGGGUUGUGGGUUCGAGCCUCACAUUGGGCA
Non-coding RNA from Podarcis lilfordi (Lilford's wall lizard), 76 nucleotides. NCBI's taxonomy places the organism in Eukaryota, Metazoa, Chordata, Lepidosauria, Squamata, Lacertidae. The record is from the annotation of a GenBank genome assembly.